Long non-coding RNA from Perognathus longimembris pacificus (Pacific pocket mouse), 1399 nucleotides. RefSeq lists it as uncharacterized. The record is from RefSeq and is a predicted model, not a curated record. Lineage: Eukaryota; Metazoa; Chordata; Mammalia; Rodentia; Heteromyidae. The transcript has 2 exons.
GCUAGGAUUAUGGAUGUGAACAACUAGCACUCAGCAAUAGUUAAGAAGUUUUAAACAAUAAAACAAUUACCUGAACAGAUAUCCAAAUGAUGUUUUCCAUCUUGUUUUUUGAGAUGUACUCUAUAAAUUAUACAGCCUCAAGUAGGAAAGUACAUUAAAGAUUAUCUCAGCAAAUCAUACUUUUGGUGAUUGGCUUUUUGUAUUUAUACUCUUUUAAAACACUCCAGUGGGGCUAGGGAUGUAGCUCCUUGGUAGAGAAACUACCAAGCACAUGCAAGGCUCUGAGUUCAGCCUUUGCAUAAAAAAAAAAUCAUUACAACAUUCCAGAGUUUAGGAAUUUAUUGAGACUCCAUGCACAUCAUCCUAGUUUGGUAAAGCUUUAAAUCUUGUAUUUAGUACACACUACACAAAACUGUAGAAAAAUUUUCCUGGCCUUCCAUAAUUUGGCACCAAGUUCUAAAUUUUUAUCAAUACAUCCUUUACUGUAACAGUGGACCAGGGUAGGGCUCUGAACUAGCUCCAGAAAUGAAAUACUUGGCACAGGCUCUGUUCAAUUAAAGCUCAGAAUCCCUGCUUCUCUGGCUGCGCUGGUGUUGGGCUGGCUUUAAGAACUGCCAUACAAUCUAAGUUGGACCUAUCAGUGGGUCUCAGGACUCGAGGGACUUACUGGCAAAUACUUAUCCUGCUUGUCCUUGCACAAGGAAAGCUGUGAGUUGGCAGCAUUUAUUUAUCAAGGAAAGCCUCAGAAGCCAAAAGAAUAGGAGGGCUUAGAGACAGAAAAACUGAGUCAUUAUGACAUUUUUGAGCUGCCAAUCCAGGCACUGGUGGGCACAAUUCUUACCCAGAUUUCUAACUAAAUGUGCAUCAGUAAUUCUCAAAUGCCUUCCCCUUCUCCUGCUUUGAUCUUUUUUUUUUUUUUUUUUUGUUACUUGUCCCCCUGAUAAGGGAAAGAGAGUCUUUUCCAUUGUGGACAUUUUCAUAAAAGUAAAGUCAUUCCUUGUGAAUGUCCCCAAAAUGUGGAUCAAAUAAGGUGGGGUUGCCUGCAAACUAGAAGCUGGUGCUCUUCAUCACAUGAUAAGGAGAUACAAGCCUAGUGUAUCUUGACACUAGAUUAGGCCUCAAAGGCUGCAAUGGGAGACUUCAUAAGAUUUUUAGGACUCUAGACUAAGAUGUUUGCUUUAGUCAGGCUUUAGUGAGAGCAUGCAAAGAAAAGUUUGAUCUGUAACUGGCCUUUUGGAAGGUGAAAAUAUAACUCUGCUAAGACAAAACUAUUUAUGUUAGUUAAAUAACAACCUCUAGGAUUCAGUAGGUCAGCUCUACCAAGAAGUUAGUUUGGGUAAUUUUUAAAACACUUCCUAAUCCUAAAAAAAAAAAAAAAAUCAAUGAAAAAAAUAAGCAA